This 253-nucleotide ribosomal RNA is filed under the name uncultured bacterium. Its description in RNAcentral is "partial 16S ribosomal RNA". It matches the Rfam family "Bacterial small subunit ribosomal RNA", at positions 524 to 776 of the family's 1533-position model. The record is from RNAcentral.
GACGGAGGAUGCAAGCGUUAUCCGGAAUGAUUGGGCGUAAAGCGUCCGCAGGUGGCAGUUCAAGUCUGCUGUCAAAGACCGGGGCUUAACUUCGGAAAGGCAGUGGAAACUGAACAGCUAGAGUAUGGUAGGGGCAGAGGGAAUUCCUGGUGUAGCGGUGAAAUGCGUAGAGAUCAGGAAGAACAUCGGUGGCGAAGGCGGCAUCCUGGACCGGCAUUGACGCUGAUGAGCGAAAGCUAGGGGAGCAAACGGG